CCUACGGGAGGCAGCAGUGAGGAAUAUUGGUCAAUGGGCGUAAGCCUGAACCAGCCAAGUCGCGUGAGGGAUGAAGGUUCUAUGGAUCGUAAACCUCUUUUAUAAGGGAAUAAAGUGCGGGACGUGUCCCUUUUUGUAUGUACCUUAUGAAUAAGGAUCGGCUAACUCCGUGCCAGCAGCCGCGGUAAUACGGAGGAUCCGAGCGUUAUCCGGAUUUAUUGGGUUUAAAGGGUGCGUAGGCGGCCUUUUAAGUCAGCUGUGAAAGUCUGUGGCUCAACCAUAGAAUUGCCGUUGAAACUGGGAGGCUUGAGUAUGUUUGAGGCAGGCGGAAUGCGUGGUGUAGCGGUGAAAUGCUUAGAUAGCACGCAGAACCCCGAUUGCGAAGGCAGCCUGCCAAGCCAUGACUGACGCUGAUGCACGAAAGCGUGGGGAUCAAACAGGAUUAGAUACCCUAGUAGUC
RNAcentral lists this ribosomal RNA (460 nucleotides) under uncultured bacterium. Its description in RNAcentral is "partial 16S ribosomal RNA". It matches the Rfam family "Bacterial small subunit ribosomal RNA", at positions 338 to 795 of the family's 1533-position model. The record is from RNAcentral.